UUAGAGUGUGAGCACAUAACAAACUGAAGAAGUGAGAGAAAGAGAUGAACAAGGUGUUUGUUUUUUCAAUUGUGAUGGCUGCAGUGGUGGCGAUGGAGGUGGCUCCGCCGGCAGAGGGUGUGACUUGUAGCCCUGUGGAGCUGAGUCCUUGUUCGGCGGCAAUAAUUUCGUCAUCUCCACCAACAACUGCUUGCUGCCAGAAACUGAGGGAACAGACGCCAUGUCUAUGUGGUUACCUCAAAAACCCUAGUUUCAGGAAUUAUGUCAACUCUCCUGGUUCCAGAAGGGUUUCUAGUUCAUGUGGAGUUCGCUUUCCAAUUUGUAUAACUAAAUAAACUCAUGUUAGGUAUUAUAAUAAACUUUCACACGUCUGCUACGACAUGCGAUAGUUUUUUCAGUGAUCCAAUUCAUGCAUGUAAUAAACUGAUGUUGCAGCGUUAGUUUCAAGGAAUUAAUACGAUGUGUGAAUGAGAUGUUGAAGAAGUUAAUGGAAUAAAUCUGGUUCUUGAUUCUCUCAUUUUCUCUUGUUCUAUAGAAACAAUUAUUUUUUUCUUUUGUCAACAAUGAGUUUUUUUUUACGGGGCCACUUUCAAAAGGCCUAUGAACAGUUUAGGACUCUGGCGUCAACUUGUCAGGAUGAAUUAAGUACCAUUUGAAUUGGCACGCAUUUCAAUUUUCAAUUAAUGAUGGCAAUUUUAGAAACAUAUAAAUGUCGUUAAACAUUUUUUUUAAGAUAUAUGGAAAUAUCAGAAUUUUUCAAUAAAAUUCAAAUGAAAAGAAUGAUUGUAAAAAUAAUGUAAAAGAUCAUGGUUAAUGUUUUCACACAUUGGUAUAUUUGUUUCAGCUCUUUUAGAUGAUAUUUUGUUUAAUAUUCGUCAUCAAUUUCGUAACAUAGUUGUGUUAUUACCUAUAUAUUUAUUAAAGAGUGUGGUUUAAGUGUAUGUAUAACUUCUAUACAAGUCAUAGUGUCUAUUAACUUAAAUGUGUAUUAUUAUUUUUAAGAUGAAAUAUUUUUCAAAUAAAAGUCACCUAACAAUUUUAUACUAUUUUUUUAUUGAAAUAUAUAUAUAGAUAUCAUUUUCGGUCUCUCGCAUUAUCUUAAAGACAUGCUUAACCCUCGUUUAUUCUGAUUUAUUCACUUGAUAUAAAACCUAAAACUAAUUGAAAUUUAAUACAAUUAAAUUUUUUUCUUAAUAUAUGUAUUGUAAUUGCAACAUCAUUUAAUUAAAAAUUAUUGUAAAUAUAAUUAAUUUUUUCUUUUCUCAGCUGUAUCAUUGUUCAAUCUUUUAACAAAUGUAGUUUCAAUUAACAUAAAAUGCAAACUCAAUUAAAAAUUAAGAGUCUACUAUAUACCCUUCACAUUUCCAGUUUCAUAUAUAUAUAUAUAUAUAUAUAUAUAUAUAUAUAUAUAUAUAUAUAUAUAUAUAUAUAUAUAUAUAACAAUUUUUCUGUAUAAAAUAAAAUCUAUUCUGUGUUACUGUUUCACAAUUUAUAAUUUUAUAAAUUCUUCAUGAUCCUUAUUAUAAUUUCAAUUUUAACUACGUACUUUCCCUGUUAGACAUUGUAAUAACUAAUUGGUUGGUUGAGUUUCUUUAUUAAUCUUAAAAUAAUAGUCAUUUUAAAACUAUUACACUUCAGGAAAUAGUUUAAAAUAAUCUUAUUUAUUAUUUGUUUCAAUCAAAUGUAAACUAUAUAUUUAUAUAAAUAAACAUGAUUUAUAUAAAUAUUUGUAAAUACUAAAGUUAAAUGUUUAAGUACAAUAUAAAUAAUGUGAAAAUCUAACUCUACAUACAUUCACUAAAAAAAUUGUUGUUUGAACAGUUUUGCACAAUUUAUUAUUACACGUAACUGGUUUUUUUUUUACAAAUGGAUGAUUUUCUUCAUCCUUAUACAUACAACAUUUGUCUUUCGUGUAAUCAUUAUCAUGGAAUCAGUAAAACAUUUAUUUUGAAAUGAUCCACCACCCAUCCUUUUAAUAAAAGCAGACAUGUCACUACAUGGAAUGAAUGUUAAGAUAAAUGAGUGUGUUAACAUACCAUUAUCUUUCAAAUGAAAAAAAAAAAAAAAACACAAGAAACCUUAUAUAAAAGAUAAUGAAAGAAAUACAAGAAACCUUAUAUAAAAUAUAAAAUGUAAAGAUGAUAAAUAAAAUAUAAAAAUUGGAUGAAAGUUAAAGUGAAAGAAAGAAUAUAAUUAUUGAAUUUUUAUUCAUAAAUUAAAAAACCCUAUUAUAUUAAGUUGGAGUAUUGAGUUUCUUUUCCGUUAAAACCAGGCAAUAGUAAACUUUUAGUAUCAAAAUUCGUUUACUCUAAAGAUAAUGCAUACAAAAUUUAAGUUAUAAAAAGUUUAGAGUUUAGAUAGUUAUAAAUAUAAAUUUUAUUCCACACAUACCAAAACUUAUUUCGUUUUUGAGGAUUUUGCAUUCAUCAUUUCACGAAUCUUCCACUGCCCAAGAAGAAACGACGAAUUUCUGAAUUGUAUUAAUAAGAGGAGUGAAAAAAUUGUGUACUAAACACGAAAUUCCAAUAAUUGUCAUGCCAACUUUUUCAUCCUUCCUUCCACAUGCAUUUUAUCGUACAAGAAAUAAUUACUUACAAAUAUAGACUACACAAAUUAAUCUUUCAAAAUUAACCUUCAUUAGACACAUUACUUUCUCAACACACUUUUUUCUACAUUCAAACACAUACUAAAACCGAAUUUCUUAAUUCAUACUAAAUAACAUUAUUUCCUAUAUUCAAACUGGUACGAAAACUAAAAUUCUUGAUAUAUAUUAUAUAAUAUUAUUUAUAAAAUAAUGAUGAGUUAACUAAUAAAAUAAUAUAUUUAACAAAUACAAACAAAAUUAAGAUAGAUUUUAGUUUAUGAGAUUAAUACUCUAUUAAAAAAUAAAUAUUUAAAUUUAAUUUAAAUUCACAAAAUCAAUUUAUAAAAUAAAACUUAUAUCUUAUAUUUAAUUAUUUUUAAUUUACACAUCAGACCUUCACUUAUCAGAUAUUUUGAAAUUGCUCUCACUGUGUAAUUGUCGUAAUAUUUAAUAUGUUUAUUUACCUUUCAAAUGCAUUCCAUGUAGUAAAAAACCAUCGUUAGAAACAGAUUGAAGUGAGAAAAAAAUGAAGAAAGUGUUUGUUUAUAUUACUUUCGUAGAUGAAAAAGAUGAAAAUAAGAAAAAGAAGAGUAGAAAAGAAAUGAAAAUAAUAUAACAACACAAAGAUAUAUAUUUCUUUAAUAGAAUACCUUCAAUUAUUUUAUUAUAUUACUAUUUAAUUUUCCCAUCAGCAAGAAAAUUAAAAAGUACAUGUUGAUAAAGUACCUCCUUCUAGUCUUUCCACGCAUAACAUUGGUUAUGCUUGUGUUCAACCUUACAAGGUCCAUUAUCUAAUAUGUUCCAUACACAUUCUUCACAAUCAUCAUUCUUUUGAUUAUAAACAUCAAAAGAAUGGCUUGCUCCUUCCCAUGUAAAGCGACAAAAGUACAAAGUAGUCCUCCAAAACAAAUUAGGUAUAAAACCAAAACCAUAUGUUUCGCCAUACUUCAAUACGUGAGUUCCAAGAUCAUGGUGUUUAUCUUUGCAAUGAACACUCAGAUUCUUCGAAACCAAGAAGUUGGAUAUUGCAACAUAUACUUUGAAAUCAAGCCAAUUAUCAACUUGGGAAGAUACAACUUCAUCUUCACUACCUUUCACUUGCAAAGAGAAAACUGUUGUUAAAAGUAAAGAAAGUAAUAAUGCAAUUUUGAAGAUUGAGGCCAUCCUUUCUCUCGAUGACUUCUCACAAUUACAAUAACAUUUAAGUGUAUGAAUUAGUGGAUAUAUAAAGUCCUUGUUGAUAUGUAAUUGGAUUAUGGUUUGACUUUUUAUUGAGAUUCUUGUUUUACUAAUUAAAAAUUGUUUUUUCUUAUUUGAGUGAGAAACUUUUUAAGGUAUAUUUCAUUUUAUAUAUAAUUUACACAAACGUUUAUGAUAAAAUAAGUUGUUUGUAUACAACAUUUUAAAUUAAAAUUAAAAUUUUAAGAAUUUAUAAGGAUGAUUUGAUUGCUAGAUAGUUUUAAUUUGACCUAAAAGAUUUUUCAAACGUGAUGUGGUCUAGUAUUUAUAUUUUUUUAUACAUACCAUCUUUUUGAUAUAGUCUUCCGUAAUUUCGUUGAGUCAAAUUUCAACCUAUUUCAUUAAUUAAAAAAAAUCAAUGAAUAUGCAUAUCAUGGAAUCAAUAUCAUUAUUUCAAUUAUGUAAGUGAAAUUUUCCUUCAAAUUAAAAUUAAGUAAGAUUAUUUUUUUAUCAUCAUCAUCAAUAUUAUUUUUUAUUAAUGUAAAGUAAUGAUAUUUUAAAUUUAAUGUUGGUUAAAGUUUUUUUUUCACACAUCAUUUGUAAAUUUUAUUUUAUAUCAAACACAUUUUGUUAUUAUGUCAAUUAAUAAUGUUCAUUAAAAUGUUUUUCUCACCAAUAUUAUUAAGAGUUUCUUUUAUCUAACAUUAACAUUCCUGGUUAUUUUUUUUUAUAAUCAAUUACUAAUAUCUAUUACAUCUUUCAAUCAAUACUGUUGAAACUCUUUUAAUGGAGCUAACUUAUAUUUUUUUGCUUAAAAUUUCAAUUUUUUUUAUAUUUGUCUAGUUUUUUUUUUUUAAAUUGUAAUUAAAAUUCAAUAAACUAAAUUAACUUAUGUACAGAAAAGAAUUUUAAAAAUGAAAUAAUUGAAAAUGUAAACCAUUGAGUUUAAUAAAAGAUUUUUAAAUUAUUCUAUCCUAAUAAAAAAUAUAUACACCCACAUUGGACUUUUCUCCUCCACAAGUUAGGGGAUUUUUUUUUUUUCACUCACCUAUAUCCCUCGUACUCCUAUGUAAAAGUGGUGUUGAAACGCCAAUAGAUAGAUAGUGUAGAAGUUUGAAUUAGGGUUUGAUAAUGGGUGAGUGAAAAGUUUAAGAAUGUUAUCCCAGAAAGAGGUUUUUGGAUUGAAUUUUCCGUAGUUGUGAUGAAGCCAUGGUUAAUUCGACCACAUCAUAGCUUGUCUGUUUAAAGCAAUAGAUUAUACACACUUAUUCAUAUUCACAAAAAAGAUAAUUAACUUUUUUUUAAUAUACUUCAAACAUAAUUUAAGUGCUUUUAAAAUAAAAAAAAUUAAAUAAAAAUUUUAAUUUCAAAGUUCAUUAGACAAUAAAUUAUAUAAAAUAUAAAAUAGUUUCAAAACAAUACAUAAAAAAUAUCAUAACAAAUCAAAAAAAAUAGAGAAGAGUGGAAAACUUUAGUUGGUGUGGAUUCAAGGAUCAAUAGAAGAUAAGUUUUCAGUAUCAUAUAUAAAAUAGUAGUAAUACGUUGACAUGUUGACUGAGAUGUUGACGUAGCUUAAUAUUUAUUUGAUGUGGUGACACGUCUAUUUUUAUUAAAUAAUGUAAUCUAUGAUGAAUAAUAAACAAUUGUAAAUUGAUAAGUUCAACUUUUAUUUAAUGAAAUUUAUAGUGUUGAAUUAGACAAUUUUAAUAAAACCUGAGGUGUCAUUAUGUCAAAUAAAUGUUAAGAUACGUUAGCAUCUCAUUUUAAAUUAAAAAUGAAGAUAAAAAAAAACUUAUAUAAAAUGUAAUGAUGAUAAAUGAAGUAUCAAAAUUGGAUAACGUAUCAUUAUUGAUAAUACGAAAUUAGAAAAACCUAUUAUAUUAAGUUGUAAUAAUGAGUUUCUUUUACGUUAAAACCCGGGUAAAGUAAACUUUUAAUAGUAAAAUUCGUUUAGUCUAAAGAUAAUGCAAACAAAAUUUAAGUUUCAAAGUUUAUUUCAUACUUAACAUACAUCCAAAUCUCAUCUCAUUUUUUAGGACUUUGCAUUCAUCAUUUCACGAAUUUCCAAUAAGAAACAACGAACUUCUGAAUUUUAUUAUUAAGAGAAGUGAAGAAGUUGUGUACUAAACACGAAAUUCCAAUUUUCGAUUGCCAUACCAACUUUUUCCUCCUUACUUACACACGGAUUCUCUUUUACAAAAAGCAAUCACUUACAAAUAUAGAACUACCAUAAUUAUUCUUUCAAAAUUAACAUUCAUUAGACACAUUACUUCACCAACACACUUUUUCUAAAUUCAAAUUCAUACUGAAACUGAAUUUCUUCAUACACACUAAAUAACAUUAUUUACUACAUUCCAAUAACUCAUACUAAAAUUAAAAUUUUUGAUACAUAUUAAAUAACUAUUUAUUAAAUAUAUAUAUAUAUAUAUUAAAUUAAUUUUAUUUUUAGAUUUUAAAGUAAUCUUAGUUUAUUACAGAGGCAUCCAAUUGUUAGUUUUUUUGAAUGUGACCUCAGACGGUGGAACUGUCGACAUCUUUAGCAGAGGUUAUGUGAAAACUGAGAGUGGUUGUCAUAAAUAUUUAGUAUGAUUAUUUACCUUUCAGUCCACUCCAUGUAGUACAAAAACACCAUCCAUGUUAGAGUGUGAACACAUAACAGACUGAAGAAGUGAGAGAAAGAGAUGAAGAAGGUGUUUGUUUUUGCAAUUGUGGUGGUGGCAGUGGUGACGAUGGAGGUGACUCCGACGGCAGAAGGUGUGACUUGUAACCCUGUGGAGCUGAGUCUUUGUUUGGCGGCAAUAAGUUCGUCAUCUCCACCAACAACUGCUUGCUGUCAGAAACUGAGUGAACAGGCGCAAUGUCUCUGUGAUUACCUCAAAAUUCUCAAGAAUUACGUCAACUUUCCUGCUUACAAAAGGGUUGCUAGUUCAUGUGGAGUUACCUUACCAAGUUGUUUAUCUAAAUAAACUCAUAUUAUGUAUUAUUAUAUACUUUCACACGUCUGCUACGACGUUAAGAUAGUUUUUUCAGCUAUCCAAUUCAUGCAUGUAAUUAAUAAGCUCAUAUCGCAGCGUUAGUUUUAAUAAAUUAAUAUGAUUGUGUUGUAUGUGUGAAUGAGAUGUUGAAGAAGAUAAUGGAAUAAAUCUGGUUCUUGAUUCAC
RNAcentral lists this long non-coding RNA (6923 nucleotides) under Vigna radiata. RNAcentral's name for it is "long non-coding RNA (VRAD_LNC000007)". The record is from RNAcentral. Lineage: Eukaryota; Viridiplantae; Streptophyta; Magnoliopsida; Fabales; Fabaceae.